UCUCGCGCGAUCUCUCCGAAAGCUUCUCCUAUUCAAUUCAAUGGCAUCAACAAUCAGGUCAAAACGCCUUGUUUUCCUUGCCUUGCAGCUUCAAUGGUUGCAGAGGGAUCAACCCAUCUUUCAUCCGUCCGAUUCUAGGAAGCUCUCCAUCUCUAAUGGGAGCUCUCUCUCUCUCUCUCUCUCUCUCUCUCUCACCUAUACUCUGAUGGGAGUUCACCUUUUUUAUCCGAUCUUGAGCAGCUCUGAAAGAAGGUCGAACCAGACGGUAACCGCUGAUCUAGAUGAGACCCUCCUUGUGUCCCAAAACCCUCUUUCUCUGCUCUUUGAUCCUUCUCCACUGGUUUUCUGAUGCCCUAUUAAUGGCUCUAUUUUUAUAUAUAGAGAAGCAGAGGCAACCAUCAAUCAUCUCUCACCAUCACCUUCAUCUAAUCUCUCUUCUCUGAUUUCAACGGCCUCUGAUCAUAUCCCAUGGGAUUUCUGUGUAUUUCUCUAGAAAGAGCCUUGGAAAUGUCACAAGGAUUCAAAGUCCAUGCAUCUGUAAGACGUAGCUUGGAGUUGAUUUGGAGAAUUGUAAGAGCUCAUGGAAGGGACAACAAAUUCAUUCCUAGUUUAGAAAUGAAGCUUGCCUAAGUUAUGCUUCAUAUUAGACAUUUUAAAUGAACUUUCAGUAUCGAUACUAUAGGACAUCAGCGAUUGUAAGUCUUGGGCUGAACUAUCUAUCGGUGUGAUAUUUGUAAGUUACUUGUGAUGUUUCUUAUAACUUGAAAAUUUUCUUUUCACCUUCUUUUGCCUUGUGGAAAUUUGAUUUCAUCUAGAUGGGAAGUAGAUCCCUAAGCACAUGAUUAAAAUUGCUUUUGAAAAUGUUCUACGCUUUUUUUAAAAAACCCAACUGCUCCCUCACCUGAACAUGUCAUUGCUUCAAUUUAGAUUUUGUGCAGUUAUGGUCUGGGAGCGGAUAGGCAUUAGAUAUGUUGGCAGGAUAAACAAAUCAUAAUCAUAAUCUUUUCUUGACAUGGCUGUUGUGCAAUGCUCAGUACCUGUGUCCAAUAUCAUGCAAUGAGGGUAUUAGAUCUGUCUCAGAAAUGGCCAGCCAUAUCCAAAUAAUUCAUAUUAAAAUAAUAACUAAAAUUAUAAUUUAACAAAAUAUGUUAGUAAUAUGAUCAUCAACAUAGCCUUCUCCACACUAUAUGGGGUUGUCUUUGUGUAACUUGUUUCACGAAUCAUAUUCAGAACAGGAAUUCUUGUGAUUGCAUGGUAAACUUUUUACCACCAGCUACUCACCUUACAUCAACCCUUUCCUUUAUCCUGAGUUGGGACUGGCAGGCACAUAUUGCUUCCAGGCAGAGCUUCAAUUAGUUAGAAGAUAUUAAUUAUUAAAUGCUAAGCUGUGUCCCUGUAUGCAGUGAUUUGGAUUCAAGUGAGUCUCUUGCCUCAAGUUGUACUGUUACCCAACACCCGCAUCCACACCCAGAUUUCUGCUGAUGCCACUCCUAAAUCAUCAGAUGACAUCAAAUAGUUUUUCAUCAAUCUUCUCCAAUUUCUUGCAAGGUCCUAGCCAGAGUCCAGGAAACUCUGAAGAAGCACUAUCUUACAAAAGCUCUUGCAAUGAAAGAGCAGGUGUGGUUUGUGGUUUGUACUGAUUCUAUAUUCUCUGUAUAUACCUUGACCUUGUACUUGUGGUUGCUAACUGGUACUGGACAAGUGUUUCAGAUUUUAGAUUUAUGGUCCAAAGAGGCCAAAGCAUUAAAAUUCGUACUUGGGCAGACUGCUAAGGAUUGGUAGUUUAAUUUCAGCAUCUACUAGAAUUGGAGUUGUAUCUUUUGCAAUUUACGGUUGUUUCUCUGUUUGCAGUUGUACUACACGUAAUAUUUGAUAGUAUUUAGCAGCAACUGGCAUCGAGUAUUGGUGCAGCUCUUGUGACAGUGUGGUAGGAGUCUGUAGUACUGACUCCUCUGUUGCAUCUUAAAAGUAGUCCAUGGGGAACUAUUUGUUCUGAUGAGUGCAGGACUUGCAUGUCAUCUUAAUGCUUAUUGUGCAUUGCCUUUGUAUUCUUAUUGACGAAAGAGUUACCAAAGCAAUUGAUGAUUAAGCUGCACGGCAGCAGGUUAGUUUGAGAAAAAGUGUUCUCAAUCAACAAUUAAUAUAUUGGGAGAGGAAAAUACCCUUUUGUUUUUGCAGGCCUUCUAUUAAGGUGACCAAUUGUGUUCAUUGAUAAACAACAAGGAAAGUUAAGAGCAUUGGGCCCAUGGAAUCUUUUUUCUUUUUCUUUCUAUUAUUUAUUUAUUUAUUUAUAAAUCAGGAUAGCUCUUGUAAGUCACAAUAGGCAGGUCCAAUAUUCAGCAAGAACCAUUCACUUUACAUCCUUAGUUCUAUAAUCAAUUUUAUCCUGUAUACACUUCAAAACAUUCAAGAUUAAAAAACAAAGACCCCCCUGCAUUAUCAAUCAGAUCUGUCCAUCCAUUAGACCUUAAUAACGAUUGCUUCGUUUUCAAAAAUCAAACUUGUUGAACAGUCUUCUUAUUCAUCACUUUUCUUUAAGAAAUUUAACUAUUUUUCUUUUUUCAUAUGGUUGCUUUAGUGGCCAUUGAUCAAAUGGACAGAAAUGUCUAAUAGUGGACGUUACACAGAAAAUCGUGGACCCUGCUUGGCUGAUUCAUCAUGGGGCCAUAAGCCAUGUGCAAGGAACUUUGAUGCGAUGUCCUUGUUUUCCGAGCAAAAUCAUUUGUUGAUCUGGGGCAAUAUAAGUCCUAUAACUCAAAAUCAGCUUUUCUUUAAAUUAUUUAUGUGAUGCCCUUUUUUUUUCCGAGCAAAAUCAUUCAUCUGUGCAACUCUCUCCUCAGGAACUAUUUCUGCAUCUGUUUGUAGUUCAGGGUAUUAUAAUUCUAUUAUGAAAAAUAGGUUUUUCUUUCAAUUGAUGUUGUGUUGUGCUUGUUUUACUUUUAGAGUGAAACAAUACAAAACCGGUACCAUUUAGCCCCCAGUUUAUCAUCCAUGUUGUUUAACAUAAAGUAGGGCAUGUUUCCUUUU
This is a long non-coding RNA of Magnolia sinica, 3027 nucleotides long. RefSeq lists it as uncharacterized. The record is from RefSeq and is a predicted model, not a curated record. NCBI's taxonomy places the organism in Eukaryota, Viridiplantae, Streptophyta, Magnoliopsida, Magnoliales, Magnoliaceae. The transcript has 7 exons.